UGGCUCAGAGGUUGAGAGCACUGGCUGCUUUUCCAGAGGUUCUGAGUUCAAUUCUCAG
Molecule: transfer RNA, 58 nt
Filed under: Cricetulus griseus (Chinese hamster)
Lineage: Eukaryota; Metazoa; Chordata; Mammalia; Rodentia; Cricetidae
Source: Rfam by way of RNAcentral